Molecule: ribosomal RNA, 253 nt
Filed under: uncultured bacterium
Lineage: Bacteria
Description: partial 16S ribosomal RNA
Rfam family: Bacterial small subunit ribosomal RNA
Source: RNAcentral
UACGAAGGGUGCUAGCGUUGCUCGGAAUCACUGGGCGUAAAGCGCACGUAGGCGGUUUGCUAAGUCAGGGGUGAAAUCCUGGAGCUCAACUCCAGAACUGCCUUUGAUACUGGCGAUCUCGAGUCCGGGAGAGGUGAGUGGAACUGCGAGUGUAGAGGUGAAAUUCGUAGAUAUUCGCAAGAACACCAGUGGCGAAGGCGGCUCACUGGCCCGGUACUGACGCUGAGGUGCGAAAGCGUGGGGAGCAAACAGG